Molecule: ribosomal RNA, 253 nt
Filed under: uncultured bacterium
Lineage: Bacteria
Description: partial 16S ribosomal RNA
Rfam family: Bacterial small subunit ribosomal RNA
Source: RNAcentral
UACAGAGGGUGCAAGCGUUGUUCGGAAUUAUUGGGCGUAAAGCGCACGUAGGUGGUCUAUCAAGUCAGGUGUGAAAGCCCUGGGCUCAACCCAGGAAGUGCACUUGAAACUGACAGGCUUGAGUAUGGAAGAGGGUCGCGGAAUUCCCGGUGUAGAGGUGAAAUUCGUAGAUAUCGGGAGGAACACCAGUGGCGAAGGCGGCGACCUGGGCCAAUACUGACACUGAGGUGCGAAAGCGUGGGGAGCAAACAGG